AAUAUCUUCUCUCAAAUUGAAAUUUUGAAAACGCAACCAACUACCCGCCGGAGACAUAUAUGAAGGGUACAGCCCGCCGCCGUCCAAAGGCGUCUUUCAAUCCUCCGCCACUUCUCCGCGAUUCCGAUGUCUGCUUUGCCAGUAGCCGCCCUUCUUCCAUCGGAAUGUGGAAAGGAUGAGAAGAGAAUUGCAGGCUGUGGAGAGGGACAUCGGUGAUGCCGAAGUCUCGAGGAACUUGUGGGAGGAGAAGUCACGGGAUCUUGAUGCAACUCUAGGAAAUACAUUUAAGGGGCUUGAGGCCAUUGCAAUGGAAUGUAACCAGGCGAUGAGAAGAUUAAAGCUCGAUAGUUGUCAUCAGUAUGUUCUGAAUGCAAAGGGGUCGACACCAGCUGAUAUGAUGGGGAUUGACUAUAAGACAACCAUUAAGCCUGCACUUGAUUCCUUUGCAGAGGACAUAAGGAGAAGUUCCAUGAUGAAGUUGGAAGAGUUGAUUUCUCUCCGGCAGCAAUCAAAUGAAAAUACUGCUAAAAUUGAGUCUAAACGCAGUCACAUGGCUUCUCUUCAACCCCAUAUCAAUGAACAUGAAACACAACUAAUCUCCUUAAAAGAUGAAAUGCGAGAUUAUAUUUUAAGAUGCUCCACGGAAUCCAAGAAAAUGGUGGAGGAUGUUCAACAAGAAGCUCAUAACUUAGAUCUCGUGGAAGGAGAAGCAGAGGAGAGUUUGAAGAAUGCCAAAUUGGCGCAUCAGGAAGCAAUAAAGCAAGAAGAAGAAGAAAUUCAUAUGUGUGCUCGUGAACUACUUUCAUGUCUUGACUCUCUCUCACAAUAUAAAGCAGUUGUUAGCUGCAAAAUUUCAGAUAUGGAAAGCUGCCUCUCGAAGGCUGCUGCCGGUAUCUCUGAGGCUUUCAAGAUUUCUAUGCCUGCAGUAUAAGAUGGAUGUGGAGGAAGUUGGACAUAGAGCAGAACAAAAAGAUGUAUGUAUGUGCAGUGAACUGAAAUUGAGGUGUGAAAAAGCUGAAAAUAAGUGUGAAGAGUUAGAGUUGAAGAUUCAAAUAAAAAAGAUUAGUAUGAAUUACUUCAGGGCCAAAUGAAGAAGUUGGAGUCAGAAAAGUCAGUCAUUGAAACGGAGAUAAAAGUUUGGAUGGAGAAGAGUCAUGAAUGUGGAUAGCAGGUUAGUUGUGCUAAAGAUGGAAGAAAUCUUUGUUUUAAGGAUGGAAAGAUGGAAGUUGUGAAUUUAGUUGAAAAUAAUGAAAUGAAAGAGGAGAUUGUUCAGCUUCUGAUUGAGAAUAAUGUUCUGGCUGUUGAGAAGAAGGCUGAAAGUGAAGCUGAGCUGUGGAAAGGUAAGUUCAAACAAUUGGAGAUUCAGAUUUCAAAAAUGGAUGAAAGGUAAGGUGAUGGGAAGCCAGUGCUUUGUGGGAAGUUUGAAGGGGUAAUUGGAUUAUCAAUGAGUCCUGAAACUCGUGGUUUGGAUGGUGUGGCCACUGAUAAAAGAAAUUAGAAACUUUGAAGCAGGUAUUCUUUUUCUUUAAUAUUGUUUUUGUUUUCUCUUAAUUGCAUAAAGGUUAUUUGGAAUAACUUUUCUAAGUCUUUAGUUCGGACAACCACUUAAAAUAGUUUGUUAUAAAUAGUCUCUUAUUUUUUAAAAAUCCAAAUAGUUUGGAUAAAAAUAAUUUUUUUGAAAAACAAUUUGUUGGAAUUCCUUGAAUCUGUGAUCUAGAGUUUUGAAAUAACCAAGUAUUAGGUUUCCCUCUACCCUUUGACAUAGUUAACGCACAUUAAUGAACCCCGUGUGUCUUUGCGUUGAUUUUCUAUUGCUUUACGUUUUUCUAGUUUCUUUAUUUAUCAACUCCAUAACACACUUAUCCGACUCUAAGACAACCGCUCAAAAAAACAGUGAUAUGAAGGAUUUGAUUGUAAAAUAUUGAAUAUCUUUGAUUUGUAUUCAUGAAGGUUUUAACCUGCGCAUGUGUUAAGUGAAUUUCUUGUUGCUUUUAACCUGAUUUUUCCUGGAUGACUGAAGUCUACAUAACUUUUUUCCUUGUGUUUGGUGGAUAUACUCUAAUGAUAGGAACAUCUCCGAAUGGCUCAUCACCCAAUCCUACUGUUUCUUUUGGGCAAGGGAAAAACGUGAGAAGUGAGAUUACACCAAAGGUACUUGUUGAUGAAUUUUGUCGACUCCCUGUAAUUUCUCUAAUAGGAGCACCUGGCUGAGUUUCUCAGCAAUGGUGAUCUACAAGGUAAUCUCAACAAAUCUGUUAAAGAGUUGGAGGAGUAUGACCCAAAGACCAUUGAGCUGUGCAGAAAUUUAGCCACACAUUACUCCAAGCAGUUGUUCGAGAUCUAUGGAAAUGAAGAAGAUCCUUUCCUUUUACCUGCAUGACAUCAUGUCAUUGAUUCCACUGCCAAACAAUUUCAUACUCAAAUGUAAGAGUCAAUGUCAUCCGCUUGAAGAAACUCCCAAAAAGGGUCUUUUGUGGGAAAAUAGCAUAAAGCAUAAAACUUAGUUAUGUUGGACCUUUAUUAGGAGGAAAGCUAUAUUGAUAGACCAUAGUUGGUUGACAUGACAUGUAACCUGUGGAUCUGAUUGUAAAUUUUGUGCAUUUAGGGUAAUUAUUUAUUCCUGUUGUCUAUCUUAGUCUAUGUUACAUGUUUGGUACCCUUGUUGGUAGUUUGAUUGAGGCAAAUGAGGCCUGUAAAAGAAUUUAUAACUGAGGUUCAAUAGCCAUAAAAGAAUUUAUUUGCUAAAACCAUAGUUUAUGGUA
RNA transcript from Cucumis sativus (cucumber), 2762 nucleotides. It is a transcript of the gene named kinetochore protein NDC80 homolog, with no coding region annotated. Lineage: Eukaryota; Viridiplantae; Streptophyta; Magnoliopsida; Cucurbitales; Cucurbitaceae. The transcript is spliced from 6 exons. The record is from RefSeq and is a predicted model, not a curated record.